Molecule: long non-coding RNA, 1108 nt
Filed under: Coffea arabica (coffee)
Lineage: Eukaryota; Viridiplantae; Streptophyta; Magnoliopsida; Gentianales; Rubiaceae
Description: long non-coding RNA (CARA_LNC005409)
Source: RNAcentral
GAGGUCUAUAAGUGUAUCUCUAUUGAAGGUUGUAAUUGAUACCGCUUGUAUUAUUAAGAUUAUUAUUCGUAAAUUUUUGUGAUACAUGACUGAGUCCUGCGCGAGAGUUGGGCAGGUAGUUCGCCAAACCCUUAGGUACCCCCUAGGGAGAGGUGGGGCUGUCACAGUUUGUGAUGAAAUUAAGCGUAUCAAACCAAGAGAAUUUUAGUGAGCCAUUUGGACUUUGGGGUCAUUAAACUUUUUUGUUAGUUAAAUUAUUUGGGACUCUCUUGUGCCUUAGUUUUAGGUGUUUUUGGACCAAGGAAUACUUUUCUAAGGGUUUUAUACUCUCUUCUUCUUAGUGAAAUUUUGUUCAUGUUUGCUCGUGGAUGUAGGUUAAAUUGACUGAAUCACGUAAAUUCUUAUAUUCUUGUUUCAUUUAUUGUGCUUUCUUACUUUUCUUUUGGGAUCGUCAAGAAUCUUUCUCGUUAAUUUCUUGGAAUCAAACCUAACAAUGUUGCUUGACAAAAAAAUAAUGACAUUUUAUCGUUAUUGGGUUAGUAAAAAAGUUCAAAUUUAUAUACUUAACAUCCACCAAAACUUGAGCUUAAAUAUGCAAUUAUUUUUAAAUGAGUUAAAUGGGUAAUGCAAGUCAACUUGUUAUCCACAAAUUAAAUGUGUUUAAUUUAAUCACCUAAUUAAACCCAUUUAAAAUUCAUUGCAUUCCCAAAUCUACUUAUUAAUGGCAAGUUUGGGUUGGUCAAUUUAAUUGGAUUAUGAUUCAAACUUGUAGUAAAUAUUAAACUUGUUGAAAUUAAAAGGUUUAUUUUGUUUCUCUCUUUUUUAGUUUUAAUUAUUCUAAUGAGCAGAGGUUUGGGAUAAAACUGGAUUAAUUUUAGUAAUAGAUUUACACAAUUACAUUCUAAACUUUUCUAUGACUCUUGAUUCAAUUAAUAAGAAUAUAGUAGUCUCGUAUUUUGCAGUUAAAUUUUUUUUCACUGAUUAUAAGUAUAUUCAAAAUAUCCUUCUGUUAAUGGAUUUGAUAACAAAUGCCCCCGUUGUCCUAUGGGUAAUCAUUAAAGUAACAUCAAAUGUAAAUUUUGAAUGCAACUAAUUUAGAAAAAUAUUU